Molecule: ribosomal RNA, 511 nt
Filed under: uncultured Pyramimonas
Lineage: Eukaryota; Viridiplantae; Chlorophyta; Pyramimonadophyceae; Pyramimonadales
Description: partial Bacterial large subunit ribosomal RNA
Rfam family: Bacterial large subunit ribosomal RNA
Source: RNAcentral
ACUAAGUGCACACGGUGGAUGCCUUGGCAGUUAGAGGCGAUGAAGGACGUGUUAAUCUGCGAAAAGCUUUGGUGAGGUGAUAAAAACCGUUAUAGCCAAAGAUGUCCGAAUGGGGAAACCCACUUAGCAUAAGCUAGGUAUCAUUAACUGAAUACAUAGGUUAAUGAGGCAAACCGGGAGAACUGAAACAUCUAAGUACCCCGAGGAAAAGAAAUCAACCGAGAUUUCGUUAGUAGCGGCGAGCGAACGCGAAUCAGCCCUUAAGCUUAUUGGGCGCUAGUAGAAUCUACUGGAAAGUAGAACGAUACAGGGUGAUAGUCCCGUAUACUAAAGCAACCUUUAAGUGAAAUCGAGUAGGACGGAGCACGUGAAACUUUGUCUGAAUAUGGGGGGACCAUCCUCCAAGGCUAAAUACUCCUAACUGACCGAUAGUGAACCAGUACCGUGAGGGAAAGGCGAAAAGAACCCCUGUGAGGGGAGUGAAAUAGAACCUGAAACCGUAUACGUACAA